Molecule: ribosomal RNA, 467 nt
Filed under: uncultured bacterium
Lineage: Bacteria
Description: partial 16S ribosomal RNA
Rfam family: Bacterial small subunit ribosomal RNA
Source: RNAcentral
AUGAACGCUGGCGGCGUGCUUAACACAUGCAAGUCGAACGGUGAAGGCGGAGCUUGCUCUGCUGGAUCAGUGGCGAACGGGGGAGUAACACGUGAGCAAUCUGCCCCUGACUCUGGGAUAAGCGCUGGAAACGGCGUCUAAUACUGGAUACGAGCUGCGAAGGCAUCUUCAGCAGCUGGAAAGAACUUCGGUCAGGGAUGAGCUCGCGGCCUAUCAGCCUGUUGGUGAGGUAACGGCUCACCAAGGCGUCGACGGGUAGCCGGCCUGAGAGGGUGACCGGCCACACUGGGACUGAGACACGGCCCAGACUCCUACGGGAGGCAGCAGUGGGGAAUAUUGCACAAUGGGCGAAAGCCUGAUGCAGCAACGCCGCGUGAGGGACGACGGCCUUCGGGUUGUAAACCUCUUUUAGCAGGGAAGAAGCGAAAGUGACGGUACCUGCAGAAAAAGCGCCGGCUAACUACGUG